AGUCAAAGCACACCCUCCCAAACUGAAGAAACUUAUGGACAAGAAGUUAUCAUUGAAGUUAAACGGAGGCAGACACGUACAAGGAAUGCCACAGGGCUUUGAUCCCUUUAUGAACCUUGUGAUUGAUGAGCGUGUGGAGAUUGCAAAUGGUAGGCAACAGAAUAACAUCGGAACGGUGGUCAGGUGGGGAAAUGGCAUCAUCAUGUCAGAAGCCUUGGAAAGAGUAG
RNAcentral lists this long non-coding RNA (227 nucleotides) under Mus musculus (house mouse). RNAcentral's name for it is "long non-coding RNA chr5:108002259-108002486". Lineage: Eukaryota; Metazoa; Chordata; Mammalia; Rodentia; Muridae. The record is from RNAcentral.